Long non-coding RNA from Lolium perenne, 1870 nucleotides. RefSeq lists it as uncharacterized. The record is from RefSeq and is a predicted model, not a curated record. NCBI's taxonomy places the organism in Eukaryota, Viridiplantae, Streptophyta, Magnoliopsida, Poales, Poaceae.
UAAUACGCACGGAUAACACAGUAUUGGUUCCUUUAUUUCUCCCCGCCCGCCUAGGGUUCCUUCGGCCUCGCCGCCCGAGCUGGCGACCGGCAGCGGCGGCACACCGUCAUCUGCCCGCCGACGACCACUUAUUGAAGCUCCUCCAGUUCUUGAUACGACAUCCUCCUGUUGUGAGCCCCCAAUCUCUCCUUCCCGUCUCCUUUCUGUACUUUCCCGUCCUCUCCUCCCACCCAAACGUUCCUCUCCCGACGGUCUUCAUCGACACAAUAGCUCGUUGUCCUGCGCCUACUACUCCUCGGGCGGCAAGCACCUCAGGCACGAUGGACAUGGCCUUUGCAAUCAGUAGGAGGACUGGAGGAGAUCUGGGCGCAUGACCUGGAUGGCCCAACGAUGCCAGAUCCGGUGGUAGAUCAUGAUGUACAGCUGUCGUCGAAACAGAUGAACCGCCAAAGCUGACCCAUCUUCGUUUCGCGAUUCUGGUGAUGAAUUCAACUCACCCAGCGGAAAAGCAGUUGGUAUCUCUUUGGACUUCGGCUGUACGUUCAUAUGGCCUUUGGCCUCUCACCAAUUCCUCUCCUUUGUAUCCAUUUUUUCUGCUAGGUGAUGAAUUCAUCUCACGAUUGUUGAUGUGCUGCAGGAAUGCAGAUGCACAAACUUUAUAGAUCUUACUUCUGUAGGAAUGCUAAAUUCUUCUGUUCACUAAACUAUUUGGUUGCAGAGAAUUCUAGAGAAGAGGAUUAUAUUCAUUACUUGAACAAAUGAACAUGGCGAAAAAAUUGCCAUUUCAGAUGAGGCUGGUGGUGGAAGCCUCUAGCAGCAUUGAGAUAUAAUUUCCAUUUCAUACAAGACGCUUUGGACUGAUAGUACUAAGCAGUGGUGACAUAUAUAUAGAGCUGAUUAAGAAGGUUACUGUGCGAGAUGUGAGGAGUACAAGGGAGCAAGUAUUCCUCUCGUGUGGCUAGAGUGUGAUGCGACAAACACCACAAUGGCUUCUUUGUUUACAGGAAGCUUGCGUAGAUGAGCUCUGACGUCAUGUCCAUGGCGGGUUAGAGUUCUGUUGUGAAAGCCCCACACAGAGAGGCUGGUGCACGCAUUGAUGACCACAACCUUUGGAGGUGACGCGGGUGGUAGCCUCUAUGUCAACGAGCUCCCGCGACACGCUACGGAUGUUUCGAUGCCGAGGUCCACGGAAGCUUGAUGCACCUGCGAACAGAUUGGAACUUGAAGCAAGGCGAGAGGAUGCCGUGUUCCUCACUGCGCGCGGCCUCGGCGUGCCUGCGUGUGGCAGUAAAUAGACGAGCCGCCGCCGCCGCCAACCAUGCCACCGCCAACCCCGACGGUCCCACGCACAGCCAGGUGUGCGUCCAAGUCCUAGAGUCAAGAGAAAAAACCUGCUCGUCCCACAGGAAGGUCCCAGGUAGAAGAGGGGAUGGGCGAGAGGAUGAUGUGUUCCUCACUACGCGCAGCCAGGCUUCGGCGCGACCUCGAGUUCCCUGCAUGCUCCUCAUCCUUGAUGUGACCCUCCAGCCAGCGAAGAGAGGGUGUGGGACGAAGAGGCACCAGAGGAGAGGGUCGAAAAUGGGAGAGAACGGUGGCACCAGUGAGAUUGACUAGGGUGAAGUGGCACUGGAGAAGUCCAGGGGUGGAGGCAAACACAUUUGAGAAUUUGGUAAGAGGAGAGGAAGAAGAGGUGCUAGAACUGGAGUAAGUGUAAAGUGUGCAGAUAGGGUAGGGUAAGAAAUUUCAUUUUUCACGUGGUUGGCUAGAUACACAUGGAGAUUUUUAUACUUGGGCCAUGGAUAUUUUUGUAGUUCUUUGUACCAUUGAGUUAUAUGAAUUUGUAUGAAAGUAAUUGAUCUCUCAAUUCUAA